AGUGAAAGAAGUGAAAAUGAAGCUCCAAUAAGCACACUCCGUGACAUGAUUUUGGCCCGUACCAGCUAGCACACUCCCAGAUGACAGCUAUGGCAUGAUUCAGGAGAUGGCGUGGGCGAGGGACUGUUCUCAACAGGCAUUACUGAAAAGUGAGGCAGUAGGGAGUGAAGAGCUGUUUUAGCCAACUGUGGCCAACAUUGGCAUGGGAGGAUCUACGAAAUGAUGAGCAUCUUAAGGAUGGAAAUUGGGAGGUAACAGAACUGUUAGCUUCUGCAGAAAAUUUCCGAUAAUGAUAGUGCGCUCAAAGAUUCAGACUGAAAAGUAUUACAGCCACGGCUGGCUGCAGUAGCAGCAUGCUAGGCUGGGUGACCCAUGGUUUUGUGAUAAAGAUACUUCUGAGUUUUGCAUUUAAAACAGAGAUUCUAUCAUUUUGUUACUCAUGAAGGAUAUGGCAUGCAUCCUUCAAUGUUUCAACAGUCCUUUAAAGUAUAGAUCAAAAAAAAAUACAUAAUUUGCAAGUCCUUUAAUUAGUAU
Molecule: long non-coding RNA, 534 nt
Organism: Rhea pennata
Lineage: Eukaryota; Metazoa; Chordata; Aves; Rheiformes; Rheidae
Exons: 3
Source: RefSeq, a predicted model, not a curated record